Nematolebias whitei (Rio pearlfish) is the source of this 688-nucleotide long non-coding RNA. RefSeq lists it as uncharacterized. The transcript is spliced from 5 exons. Lineage: Eukaryota; Metazoa; Chordata; Actinopteri; Cyprinodontiformes; Rivulidae. The record is from RefSeq and is a predicted model, not a curated record.
AGGAAAAAUAGAAGAGUAAUUUUUUCGGAGUUAACAUUAUUUUCAUCUAAAAGAGUCAUGUUUAUACAUUAUAGAGUAAAAUCGUGUCAAUUGGUCAAUAGAAUCGGAGGAAAAAAACAGAGUAAAUCAUAUCGGAGUAAAACAAGAAAAACGCCCACUGAAGUUCGUUAAGUUUCGUUUCUUCCACCAUUUUGUUUUCCCGCAUUGGACCGGAGGCGACGGUCUGCUUUGUGCCAGGAUGCAAGCUGUGCGUGUCAAACAUAGAGAUCGACAGAAAUACAUCUGUUUUGAAGGCCAACUGACUUACAGUUCAUUUUUGGAAUGUGCUGCAAAAAAGUUCAGCAUCCCAACCUUGGACUUAAAAGUUUCUGAUGAUUCUAAGACUGAAGUGGAUGAGGAGGUUUUUGAGCUCCUUUUGAAAAGUCCAAACCUUGGUGUGCUGGAAAUUUGUGAAGCACAAGAUCUCCAUCCAGAAGAUAAUCCUAUGGAUCAGCUAAGCUGUGCAGCAAGCAGCUCCUUCACCAGCUCCAGUGGAGAAACUGAAGUGGACUCCGAUGACACCAUUAUAUUGCAACACAGUCCUGUAACAAGACAUAGAGCUGAAGACACCUCUCUUGCCCAAAUGAUUGAAAAUGUUCUAAAGAACAAACCAGGAGGAGACAGGAUCGUCAAUGAAUAUGCGCGGACA